AUGAUCGAGAUUCGUGCACCGGAGCCUCACUACCCCGUGGAUGAUGUAAAGGAGAUGAAAGAAUGUGAUCUGCAUUAUCCCGUGGGGAACGUUUCCACGAAGGUAGCUACCGGCAGUGCUUUACCCUGUACACCUGGAGCACUCCACCACAACAACCCCAUUGCAUAUGGCUAUGCUCGUGUCACGGUGGAAGACAUAGUCCAAGAGUUUGAGGACCUGGAGAUUGACAAAGCUACACCCGAAGGGGAGAGAAGACUUGGAGAUGUCAAGCGCCAGAUCAUUCUAUGGAAAAAGAAGUACAUAGUGUUUCCAGGCGAGGCGCCAAGGCUAACAAGUCCACCCCCCUCCGAUGGUGGUGGUGGUGGUGGUGGCGGUGGUGGUGGUCGUGGUGGUUCACCUACACCUCCUUCACGCCAUUCGACGCCGUCCCCCGAUCCACAACCUCCGGCGGGUAAGCAGCCGCCGCCCCCCAAUCCUCCUCCGGCGGGUACGACGCCCCCCAAUCCACCUCCGGCGAAGAAGCAGAAGCAGGCGGACAGCAAGGAAACCCGCUCCUGGACUAUUAACCCGGACCCUUAUGUACCUAAGACCACAAGGGUACCGGAGCCAUCACUGAAGCCUCUCCUCCCAAGGCCUUGGGAACUUAGUGAAGCUGAAACCAAAUUGGCCGCGUCUACUCAUUAUGAGAAAUGA
RNAcentral lists this ribosomal RNA (693 nucleotides) under Triticum aestivum (bread wheat). Its description in RNAcentral is "partial small subunit ribosomal RNA". The record is from RNAcentral. Lineage: Eukaryota; Viridiplantae; Streptophyta; Magnoliopsida; Poales; Poaceae.